GAUAGCUUGCUAUCAGGCGUCGAGCGGCGGACGGGUGAGUAAUACUUAGGAAUCUACCUAGUAGUGGGGGAUAGCACGGGGAAACUCGUAUUAAUACCGCAUACGACCUACGGGAGAAAGGGGGCAGUUUACUGCUCUCGCUAUUAGAUGAGCCUAAGUCGGAUUAGCUAGAUGGUGGGGUAAAGGCCUACCAUGGCGACGAUCUGUAGCUGGUCUGAGAGGAUGAUCAGCCACACCGGGACUGAGACACGGCCCGGACUCCUACGGGAGGCAGCAGUGGGGAAUAUUGGACAAUGGGGGAAACCCUGAUCCAGCCAUGCCGCGUGUGUGAAGAAGGCCUUUUGGUUGUAAAGCACUUUAAGCAGUGAAGAAGACUCCGUGGUUAAUACCCACGGACGAUGACAUUAGCUGCAGAAUAAGCACCGGCUAACUCUGUGCCAGCAGCCGCGGUAAUACAGAGGGUGCAAGCGUUAAUCGGAAUUACUGGGCGUAAAGGGAGCGUAGGUGGCUCUAUAAGUCAGAUGUGAAAUCCCCGGGCUUAACCUGGGAACUGCAUCUGAAACUGUAGAGCUAGAGUAUGUGAGAGGGAGGUAGAAUUUCAGGUGUAGCGGUGAAAUGCGUAGAGAUCUGAAGGAAUACCGAUGGCGAAGGCAGCCUCCUGGCAUAAUACUGACACUGAGGCUCGAAAGCGUGGGUAGCAAACAGGAUUAGAUACCCUGGUAGUCCACGCCGUAAACGAUGUCUACUAGUCGUUGGGUCCCUUGAGGACUUAGUGACGCAGCUAACGCAAUAAGUAGACCGCCUGGGGAG
Molecule: ribosomal RNA, 810 nt
Filed under: Psychrobacter sp. EST83TCBS
Lineage: Bacteria; Pseudomonadati; Pseudomonadota; Gammaproteobacteria; Moraxellales; Moraxellaceae
Description: bacterial SSU rRNA
Rfam family: Bacterial small subunit ribosomal RNA
Source: RNAcentral